This 739-nucleotide ribosomal RNA is filed under the name Bacillus sp. AFS073361. RNAcentral describes it as "bacterial LSU rRNA". It matches the Rfam family "Bacterial large subunit ribosomal RNA", at positions 1 to 774 of the family's 2925-position model. Lineage: Bacteria; Bacillati; Bacillota; Bacilli; Caryophanales; Bacillaceae. The record is from RNAcentral.
GGGUUGUGAGGUUAAGCGACUAAGCGUACACGGUGGAUGCCCUGGCAGUCAGAGGCGAUGAAGGGCGUGCUAAUCUGCGAUAAGCGUCGGCGAGGUGAUAUGAACCUUUGACCCGGCGAUACCCGAAUGGGGAAACCCAGUGUGUUCCGACACACUAUCAUGUCAUGAAUACAUAGUGGCAUGAGGCGAACCGGGGGAACUGAAACAUCUAAGUACCCCGAGGAAAAGAAAUCAACCGAGAUUCCCCCAGUAGCGGCGAGCGAACGGGGAGGAGCCCAGAGUCUGAAUCAGCGCGUGUGUUAGUGGAAGCGUCUGGAAAGUCGCACGAUACAGGGUGAAAGUCCCGUACACAAAAAUGCACACGUUGUGAACUCGAAGAGUAGGGCGGGACACGUGGUAUCCUGUCUGAAUAUGGGGGGACCAUCCUCCAAGGCUAAAUACUCCUGACUGACCGAUAGUGAACCAGUACCGUGAGGGAAAGGCGAAAAGAACCCCGGCGAGGGGAGUGAAAAAGAACCUGAAACCGUGUACGUACAAGCAGUGGGAGCCUCUUUUAUGGGGUGACUGCGUACCUUUUGUAUAAUGGGUCAGCGACUUAUAUUCUGUAGCAAGGUUAACCGUAUAGGGGAGCCGAAGGGAAACCGAGUCUUAACUGGGCGUUAAGUUGCAGGGUAUAGACCCGAAACCCGGUGAUCUAGCCAUGGGCAGGUUGAAGGUUGGGUAACACUAACUGGAGGAC